CAGUCGCCGCGGUAAUACGAAGGGUGCAAGCGUUACUCGGAAUUACUGGGCGUAAAGCGUGCGUAGGUGGUGGUUUAAGUCCGUUGUGAAAGCCCUGGGCUCAACCUGGGAAUUGCAGUGGAUACUGGGUCACUAGAGUGUGGUAGAGGAUAGUGGAAUUUCCGGUGUAGCAGUGAAAUGCGUAGAGAUCGGAAGGAACAUCUGUGGCGAAGGCGACUAUCUGGGCCAACACUGACACUGAGGCACGAAAGCGUGGGGAGCAAACAGGAUUAGAGAACCGUGUAGUCCUGUCUCUUAUACA
This 301-nucleotide ribosomal RNA is filed under the name uncultured bacterium. Its description in RNAcentral is "partial 16S ribosomal RNA". It matches the Rfam family "Bacterial small subunit ribosomal RNA", at positions 509 to 809 of the family's 1533-position model. The record is from RNAcentral.